AAUAUAACUUAAUAUAUACUUUAAGAUCUGAAAAUAAAAACUGCAUCGAUCUAAUCGAUGCUGCAAUCUAGAUAUAAUCGUUAGAUCUAUCAGAAACAAUCAAAAUAGUUUAGAAACCAUUACCAAACUGUAGACUUCUAAUCUCUGCUGAUCCAACACUUAGAUAGAUGCUCCUUCAGGUUACUCAUAGUCACACGAAGAUGUUCGACCUCUAUAGAACAUCCA
RNAcentral lists this long non-coding RNA (225 nucleotides) under Elaeis guineensis (African oil palm). Its description in RNAcentral is "long non-coding RNA (EGUI_LNC024403)". Lineage: Eukaryota; Viridiplantae; Streptophyta; Magnoliopsida; Arecales; Arecaceae. The record is from RNAcentral.